Molecule: unclassified non-coding RNA, 1608 nt
Filed under: Hevea brasiliensis (rubber tree)
Lineage: Eukaryota; Viridiplantae; Streptophyta; Magnoliopsida; Malpighiales; Euphorbiaceae
Source: RNAcentral
UCCAUGGAAGAACACAUCAAACAGAAAAUAAGAAGACAAAGCAAAGCUUUACAAACAUCACCAACAAAAAUAAACCAGAAUCUGACGCACCAGUGAGAUAGGCUUUGCCAGAAAAACCCCGAUUAUCAAUUUACAACAUACUAUCUGUCCUAGCUGGCAGACGACGGAAGAAGUUAAUCGGUGCUGAUGGCGUCCUAUGCCGGAACCUGGGAUGCCUCAUAGAGUAAAACCCAGCGACAAGAGCAAGCACCUGAAAAGGUGUUGCGUACAAGACAAUGGCAGCCACUAGACAGAAUGUCACAAAUAUGGUUGUGGCACGAGGAUCCCGCCAACUUAAUAGUGAUUGAAUUCUCUCCCCUUGGGUAACCACAUCACCCACCACAGUUUGGAUCCUCCCAGCCACACUCCUCAGCCGAUCAUACCUCAUUCGGACUAUCUCUGGGCUCCGAGUUGUUGGAAAUGUAUCAAACUCCUCAUCAAGCUCAUCAGGGUGUACGGCAUCAGCACAAGAAAUUCUUGUAUUCAUGUGUGGAGGGUAUCUUGGUCGGAUACGAUAAUUCCAAAGCCCUAUUAGAAACAUGUAGAGAAACACUGUUGGCAGAAUCAGUUCUGGAAAACACACAAGCAUCACAAACAGGAGGUGUACUAGAACCGUAGUGAUUGGACUUUUCCACAUGCAAACUUCACCGAACCAUUUUCCAACAGCAAAUAAUCCAGAGAAAACAGACAUCAGUCUGAAGAAGUUUGCCUUGCUCCUCCUCAUGCUCCAGAGAUGAGAGUUUGCAUCAGACAUGUAUUCAACAACUUCUUUCUUAAGAGGAGGUUCUGCUCGACUAAGCCGUGCUGCCACUAUGUUGACAGCUUGGUGCCGCAACAUGUCCUGCUGCAAAACAGUCAAUGGCCUUACAUAAUGCAUCUUUGGCAAAAGGGGCCGUGUGUACAAAAAUAUCAUGUUUGCCAUUGAUGUGUAUGAAAAUCGUAUUGCCAGAUGUAAUUCACCCAUCUUCUUGACACCAGAAGGAUGAAGCACUAGUAGUGGAUAAGAGUGUGUAUAUACGCGGCCAGUUUCAAGAGUAGAGAGUCGUAUCCGAACCUUACCAAUUUUUAUAUCCCUAUCACCAUUUGAACCACCUAUAUGGCUGUUGUCAAAAACUCCCACAGUAAGAACUGUUGCAGGAUCAUACACCUCCCAAGUGUAUUGUUCAUUGUAUUUUGGGCUGAGGCUGUUGAUUAUGGUUCGAGUCCUGAUCCACUUAUGACCAUACUUAGCUACACAAUAUGUAUCUGUUGUACCUUUUCCAUCCCUUGUUUUCAUUGGGUGAAGUCCGUCAGCAUUUAGAACACCAAGCUCCAGCACACCUAUUGAUGGCUUCCACAACUGCUUCGCUGUCGGUCGUAGAUCACUACUGUAGUGAGUUGACUCAUCAAGCACAUGGUACCCUCCAUCAAGUACAACACGAAGAUGGAGUCUGCUAGAGAACUUAUCUUUCUUAGCCUGAUGCUCAUCCAUGGCAGACGAAAUGGACUUUUCCAGGUUGAACCACCGGCUAUGAAUAAUUCGAUCAUCAGCACGCUUCUCAACAGAGUUUAAUGGUAUAACAACCUUGC